GACAGAGGUGCCGAGCGUUAGGCGGAAUCACUGGGCUUAAAGCGUGUGUAGGCGGAUCUGUAAGUACCUUGUGAAAUCCCACGGCUCAACCCGUGGAACUGCUUGGUAUACUGCGGGUCUUGAGCCACCUAGGGGCAAGUGGAACAAGCGGUGGAGCGGUGAAAUGCGUAGAUAUCGCUUGGAACGCCAAUGGUGAAACAACUUGCUGGGGUGUGCUGACGCUGGAGACACGAAAGCCAGGGGAGCAAAACGGG
This 254-nucleotide ribosomal RNA is filed under the name uncultured bacterium. Its description in RNAcentral is "partial 16S ribosomal RNA". It matches the Rfam family "Bacterial small subunit ribosomal RNA", at positions 524 to 777 of the family's 1533-position model. The record is from RNAcentral.